UCGAUCUUUUGGUCAUAAGGAAGGCCCAGGAUGACUUCGGGAGCUCUAUAGGAACGAGACUGGACGUAGAGGCACAAGUUGUCUGAUUUAAAGCAACUGCUUCCCAGGUCAAUGACUUUAAUCUCAGAUCUUCUAUAACUUUUGAUGAGAAUGUUCUCGGGCUUUAGGUCGCAGUGUAUAAUCCCCAGUCGAUGCAAGUAGUCCAGUGCCUCUAAACACUGACGAGUUAUGACCUGUAGGGACAAAGAUUAAACUGCCUAGUUACAUUUUCUACGAUUCCACUUCUAUGGACAAAGGCUGUAGAGAAUUAAAAGAAUCCAAUUCCACAAAUGAAGUCUUUUGGCCCAUAAAAGUACUCAUAUUCAGCAGAAAACAGUCAGAUGGAAAAAACAAAGGACCAUUAUUGAUCGGAGAGAACUACUGAGUCAAGCUAUAUUGAAAUUGACCUGUAAUCUGUUCAGCGAGAAAUAAGCUUCCCCGCCGGAUUCUUGAUUAAACUUCUGAAAUUCAUAUAGAUUUGCUCGAAGCAGUUCACAAACAAUGAAGAGAUGCUCCUGCACGGUUGUAUCAACAGGUUAGGGCAAAUAUAGAGGGAAAAUAAGCGGAUAUCAACCACAAGUGCCUGUGUCCGGACAUGGGGGGGGGGGGGGGGGGUGUGAAAGAUCGAACUCCUAAUUGGGUAAUGCUAAAUGCAUUAGUUCUAUCCCAUGGUAGUCCAGUUUGUGCCUUGUCCUCGUGAGUAAUCACGUUUCAAUCUAGAGAUGGAUAUGAUAAGGAGAAUUCCUAUCUUUUGAAAAACCACUUGUAAUACAGUGCCCACUGUGUAUCAACUUUAGUGAUUCACUUUGUUCAAAAUAGCAAUAAGCACACUGUAUGUAUUAACAGCUCUGAAGGCAUUUAUUUCGUUUGCAGAAGCUCAUGGAUAGUGAACGAUACUGUUCAAGCUAGAUAUCCUAUGUAAUACCUGUUCAACGUAUUUCAAGCUAGAUAUCCUUUGUAAUACUAUUCAAAGCAUAACAGGAGAAACAUCUGGUACACGACAAAAAGGAUUUUUUUCUCUUGUACCAAUAGAAGUUCAAAUGGGUGCAGAUGUACACCAACUGCAUACGAUAAUAAUUAAUUUCUCUAGUAACAAUCGGCAUAUUUUGCAAGAGACAUUCAACAUAUCCACCAAUGCCCUACCUGAUGAUAAAAGUAGUCGUAGAGGCGCAAUAUGUGGCAUUCAUCGGCAGGAUCAUGCUUAUUUACCAGCUUCAAAAGUUUAAUUUCAUCCAAACUCUGAUCGAAGAAAUCUUUAUCAUUUUUUAUGAUCUUCAGACAGACAUCCACGCCCGUAUACAAAUCAUGUGCUUG
This 1353-nucleotide long non-coding RNA is filed under the name Eucalyptus grandis. RNAcentral describes it as "long non-coding RNA (EGRA_LNC004470)". The record is from RNAcentral. Lineage: Eukaryota; Viridiplantae; Streptophyta; Magnoliopsida; Myrtales; Myrtaceae.